AACAGUGGCGGACGGGUGAGUAACACGUAGGUGACCUGCCCCAAAGAGGGGAAUAACCAUUCGAAAGGAUGGCUAAUACCCCGUAAGGUCGGCCAUUCAUUUGGUCGAUUAAAGCUUCUCGUAAGAGAGGCGCUUUGGGAGGGGCUUGCGGCCCAUCAGCUAGUUGGUAGGGUAAUGGCCUACCAAGGCAAAGACGGGUAGCUGGUCUGAGAGGACGAUCAGCCACAAUGGCACUGAAACACGGGCCAU
This 249-nucleotide ribosomal RNA is filed under the name uncultured bacterium. RNAcentral's name for it is "partial 16S ribosomal RNA". It matches the Rfam family "Bacterial small subunit ribosomal RNA", at positions 91 to 334 of the family's 1533-position model. The record is from RNAcentral.